RNAcentral lists this ribosomal RNA (449 nucleotides) under uncultured bacterium. RNAcentral's name for it is "bacterial SSU rRNA". It matches the Rfam family "Bacterial small subunit ribosomal RNA", at positions 329 to 795 of the family's 1533-position model. The record is from RNAcentral.
UCCCAGACUCCUACGGGAGGCAGCAGUGGGGGAUAUUGCACAAUGGGGGAAACCCUGAUGCAGCGACGCCGCGUGUGGGAAGACGGUCCUCUGGAUUGUAAACCACUUUCCCCAGGGACGAAAAUGACGGUACCUGGGGAGGAAGCUCCGGCUAACUACGGGCCAGCAGCCGCGGAAAUACGUAGGGAGCGAGCGUUGUCCGGAAUUACUGGGUGUAAAGGGAGCGUAGGCGGGCGAGAAAGUUGAAUGUUGAAUCUACCGGCUUAACUGGUAGCUGCGUUCAAAACUUCUUGUCUUGAGUGAAGUAGAGGCAGGCGGAAUUCCUAGUGUAGCGGUGAAAUGCGUAGAUAUUAGGAGGAACACCAGUGGCGAAGGCGGCCUGCUGGGCUUUAACUGACGCUGAGGCUCGAAAGCGUGGGGAGCAAACAGGAUUAGAUACCCCCGUAGUC